RNAcentral lists this ribosomal RNA (204 nucleotides) under uncultured bacterium. RNAcentral's name for it is "partial 16S ribosomal RNA". It matches the Rfam family "Bacterial small subunit ribosomal RNA", at positions 30 to 232 of the family's 1533-position model. The record is from RNAcentral.
ACUGAACGCUGGCGGCGUGCUUAACACAUGCAAGUCGAUCGGUAACAGGUGUAGCAAUACAUGCUGACGAGAGGCGGACGGGUGAGUAAUGCUUGGGAAUCUGCCUAUUAGUGGGGGACAACCCGGGAAACGUCGGCGUAAUACCGCAUACGCUCUACGGAGGAAAGCCGGGGACCGCAAGGCCUGGCGCUAAUAGAUGAGCCC